RNAcentral lists this transfer RNA (75 nucleotides) under Idiomarina loihiensis L2TR. It matches the Rfam family "tRNA". Rfam says of the family: Transfer RNA (tRNA) molecules are approximately 80 nucleotides in length. Their secondary structure includes four short double-helical elements and three loops (D, anti-codon, and T loops). The record is from Rfam by way of RNAcentral. Lineage: Bacteria; Pseudomonadati; Pseudomonadota; Gammaproteobacteria; Alteromonadales; Idiomarinaceae.
GCGCCCGUAGCUCAGCUGGAUAGAGCGCCGCCCUCCGGAGGCGGAGGUCACAGGUUUCGACUCCUGUCGGGCGCG